CAUGCAAGUCGAACGAUGAUGGGAGCUUGCUCCUGGAUUAGUGGCGAACGGGUGAGUAACACGUGAGUAACCUGCCCUUAACUCUGGGAUAAGCCUGGGAAACUGGGUCUAAUACCGGAUAUGACUCCUCAUCGCAUGGUGGGGGGUGGAAAGCUUUAUUGUGGUUUUGGAUGGACUCGCGGCCUAUCAGCUUGUUGGUGAGGUAAUGGCUUACCAAGGCGACAACGGGUAGCCGGCCUGAAAGGGUGACCGGCCAGACUGGGACUGAAACACGGCCCAAACUCCUACGGGAGGCAGCAGUGGGGAAUAUUGCACAAUGGGCGCAAGCCUGAUGCAGCGACGCCGCGUGAGGGAUGACGGCCUUCGGGUUGUAAACCUCUUUCAGUAGGGAAAAAGCGAAAGUGACGGUACCUGCAAAAAAAGCGCCGGCUAACUACGUGCCACCAGCCGCGGUAAUACGUAGGGCGCAAGCGUUAUCCGGAAUUAUUGGGCGUAAAGAGCUCGUAGGCGGUUUGUCGCGUCUGCCGUGAAAGUCCGGGGCUCAACUCCGGAUCUGCGGUGGGUACGGGCAGACUAAAGUGAUGUAGGGGAGACUGGAAUUCCUGGUGUAGCGGUGAAAUGCGCAAAUAUCAGGAGGAACACCGAUGGCGAAGGCAGGUCUCUGGGCAUUAACUGACGCUGAGGAGC
RNAcentral lists this ribosomal RNA (687 nucleotides) under Pseudarthrobacter oxydans. RNAcentral's name for it is "bacterial SSU rRNA". It matches the Rfam family "Bacterial small subunit ribosomal RNA", at positions 54 to 754 of the family's 1533-position model. Lineage: Bacteria; Bacillati; Actinomycetota; Actinomycetes; Micrococcales; Micrococcaceae. The record is from RNAcentral.